Molecule: unclassified non-coding RNA, 224 nt
Filed under: plant metagenome
Description: partial contains small subunit ribosomal RNA, internal transcribed spacer 1, and 5.8S ribosomal RNA
Source: RNAcentral
UUUCCGUAGGUGAACCUGCGGAAGGAUCAUUACAGAGUUCACGCCCGACAGGGUAGACCUCCCACCCUUGUGUAUUAUUACUUUGUUGCUUUGCCGAGCUGCCUUUGGGCCCCGCGCUUUCAAGCUUCAGCACGCUCGCCAAAGGAUACUAAAAUUCUAUUUAUUAAUGUCGUCUGAGUACUAUAUAAUAGUUAAAACUUUCAACAACGGAUCUCUUGGUUCUG